AAGAUNGGAGUCGAACCUACAACUGGAAGAUCAAAACUUCUCGUAAUUCCAUUUACUACUCUC
RNAcentral lists this transfer RNA (63 nucleotides) under Scinax perpusillus (Bandeirantes snouted treefrog). RNAcentral describes it as "tRNA-Gln". Lineage: Eukaryota; Metazoa; Chordata; Amphibia; Anura; Hylidae. The record is from RNAcentral.